UCAUUGAAUGGCUGAAAUAUAAGCAUUGGUCUCUUAAACCACACAAUAGUUACUACUUUCAAUGAA
RNAcentral lists this transfer RNA (66 nucleotides) under Chiropterargas confusus. RNAcentral's name for it is "Argas confusus tRNA-Lys". Lineage: Eukaryota; Metazoa; Arthropoda; Arachnida; Ixodida; Argasidae. The record is from RNAcentral.